AUACGGAGGGUGCGAGCGUUGUUCGGAAUUACUGGGCGUAAAGAGCGUGUAGGCGGCUAGCUAAGUCUGGUGUGAAAGCCCGGGGCUUACCCCCGGAAGUGCGCUGGAAACUGGUCAGCUAGAGUAUGGGAGAGGAAAGCGGAAUUCCUGGUGUAGCGGUGAAAUGCGUAGAUAUCAGGAGGAACACCGGCGGCGAAGGCGGCUUUCUGGACCAAUACUGACGCUGAGACGCGAAAGCGUGGGGAGCAAACAGGAUUAGAAACCCGAGUAGUCC
Molecule: ribosomal RNA, 274 nt
Filed under: uncultured bacterium
Lineage: Bacteria
Description: partial 16S ribosomal RNA
Rfam family: Bacterial small subunit ribosomal RNA
Source: RNAcentral